UGCCAGCAGCCGCGGUAAUACGGAGGGUGCGAGCGUUAAUCGGAAUUACUGGGCGUAAAGCGUGCGUAGGCGGCUUGUUAAGUUGGAUGUGAAAGCCCUGGGCUCAACCUGGGAACUGCAUCCAAAACUGACAAGCUAGAGUGCGGAAGAGGAGUGUGGAAUUUCCUGUGUAGCGGUGAAAUGCGUAGAUAUAGGAAGGAACACCAGUGGCGAAGGCGACACUCUGGUCUGACACUGACGCUGAGGUACGAAAGCGUGGGGAGCAAACAGGAUUAGAUA
Molecule: ribosomal RNA, 279 nt
Filed under: uncultured bacterium
Lineage: Bacteria
Description: partial 16S ribosomal RNA
Rfam family: Bacterial small subunit ribosomal RNA
Source: RNAcentral